This 775-nucleotide ribosomal RNA is filed under the name uncultured Neocallimastigales. RNAcentral's name for it is "partial large subunit ribosomal RNA". It matches the Rfam family "Eukaryotic large subunit ribosomal RNA", at positions 18 to 644 of the family's 3401-position model. The record is from RNAcentral. Lineage: Eukaryota; Fungi; Neocallimastigomycota; Neocallimastigomycetes; Neocallimastigales.
UCAGACGAUGCGUCAUGCAUAUCAAUAAGCGGAGGAAAAGAAACUAACAAGGAUUCCCCUAGUAACGGCGAGUGAAGCGGGAAGAGCUCAAAUUUGAAAUCUUAAAGGGUUUCCCUUUACGAAUUGUAGUUUAAAGAAGUGUUUUCUGUUGAGGUUUUGGUAAAAGUUCUUUGGAAUAGGACAUCAUAGAGGGUGAGAAUCCCGUAUUUGACCUUUACUUUCAACUUUGUGAUACACUUUCAAAGAGUCGGAUUGUUUGGGAAUGCAGUCCAAAAUGGGUGGUAAAUUUCAUCUAAAGCUAAAUAUUGGCGAGAGACCGAUAGCGAACAAGUACCGUGAGGGAAAGAUGAAAAGAACUUUGAAAAGAGAGUUAAACAGUACGUGAAAUUGUCAAAAGGGAAGCGUUUGACACCAGUGUUGUUUUUCUGAAAAUCAAUUAAAGAACUGUUUAUGCUAAGCUGUUUAGACUUUAUCAGCUAAUCUGUUUAGUUUUGAGCUUUUCUUUAAUGCACUUUUCAGUUAACAAGUCAACAUCAAUUUCUUUUGCUGUAAAAAAGCUUGAGGAAGGUGGCUUGAGAUUCGUCUUAAGUGUUUAUAGCCUCUUGCCUAUGCAGUCGGAGAGAUUGAGGUCUGCAGCGUAGAUCCUUCGGGGCUAAAUGCAUUUGUGCUAAGUUAUAGCAUUUUAUAGACAACUUGUUGACUAUGAUUUGUCUUGUAGCUUACUCGCUUAUGUUAUUUUACCUACGCUUAGGAUGUUGAAUCUGUGCGAGACUAC